RNAcentral lists this ribosomal RNA (490 nucleotides) under uncultured bacterium. RNAcentral describes it as "partial 16S ribosomal RNA". It matches the Rfam family "Bacterial small subunit ribosomal RNA", at positions 30 to 507 of the family's 1533-position model. The record is from RNAcentral.
AUUGAACGCUGGCGGCAGGCUUAACACAUGCAAGUCGAGCGGUAGCACAGGGGAGCUUGCUCCCUGGGUGACGAGCGGCGGACGGGUGAGUAAUGUCUGGGAAACUGCCUGAUGGAGGGGGAUAACUACUGGAAACGGUAGCUAAUACCGCAUAACGUCGCAAGACCAAAGAGGGGGACCUUCGGGCCUCUUGCCAUCAGAUGUUCCCAGAUGGGAUUAGCUAGUAGGUGGGGUAAUGGCUCACCUAGGCGACGAUCCCUAGCUGGUCUGAGAGGAUGACCAGCCACACUGGAACUGAGACACGGUCCAGACUCCUACGGGAGGCAGCAGUGGGGAAUAUUGCACAAUGGGCGCAAGCCUGAUGCAGCCAUGCCGCGUGUGUGAAGAAGGCCUUCGGGUUGUAAAGCACUUUCAGCGAGGAGGAAGGUGGUGAGCUUAAUACGUUCAUCAAUUGACGUUACUCGCAGAAGAAGCACCGGCUAACUCCGUG